Molecule: long non-coding RNA, 262 nt
Organism: Centruroides sculpturatus (bark scorpion)
Lineage: Eukaryota; Metazoa; Arthropoda; Arachnida; Scorpiones; Buthidae
Exons: 4
Source: RefSeq, a predicted model, not a curated record
AUAAAAGCGUUCCGUAGACGGAGAUUGCUUCUAGUAUUUCCUGGCGCCAUGUCUUCGGCAUUCGUCCUAACUUUCUUCUCUCUUCUGAUAUGCGUCGAUCUCUCGGCAGUACAAGACGAGAAAAGAAUAUUCGGAGGAAGAUUCGCCAAUCCGGGAGAAUUUCCUUGGAUGGUAUUCAUCAGAUUGACCGAUGAACUGAAUUGUAGCGGGUUCCUGAUUUCUCCGUCCUACGUGUUGACUGCGGCUCAUUGCAUGAUCAGGU